Molecule: ribosomal RNA, 253 nt
Filed under: uncultured bacterium
Lineage: Bacteria
Description: partial 16S ribosomal RNA
Rfam family: Bacterial small subunit ribosomal RNA
Source: RNAcentral
UACGUAGGGUGCAAGCGUUAAUCGGAAUUACUGGGCGUAAAGCGUGCGCAGGCGGUUUUGUAAGUCUGUCGUGAAAUCCCCGGGCUUAACCUGGGAAUGGCGAUGGAGACUGCAAGGCUAGAGUUUGGCAGAGGGGGGUAGAAUUCCACGUGUAGCAGUGAAAUGCGUAGAGAUGUGGAGGAACACCGAUGGCGAAGGCGGCCACCUGGAUGGUGACUGACGCUGAGGCGCGAAAGCUAGGGGAGCAAACGGG